AACGCACAUUGCGCCCUCUGGUAUUCCGGGGGGCAUGCCUGUUCGAGCGUCAUUACAACCCUCAAGCUCUGCUUGGUAUUGGGUGUCACCAGUCUGGUGCAUCUUAAAGUCAGUGGCGGUGCCAUUCCGGCUUCAAGCGUAGUAACAUCUUUCGCUAAGGAGCUGGGUGCGUGCCUGCCAGAAACCCCAAUUUUUCAAAGGUUGACCUCGGAUCAGGUAGGGAUACCCGCUGAACUUAA
RNAcentral lists this unclassified non-coding RNA (239 nucleotides) under uncultured fungus. Its description in RNAcentral is "sequence contains ITS2". The stretch from base 1 to 52 matches the Rfam family "5.8S ribosomal RNA", at positions 103 to 154 of the family's 154-position model. Lineage: Eukaryota; Fungi. The record is from RNAcentral.